Molecule: ribosomal RNA, 458 nt
Filed under: uncultured bacterium
Lineage: Bacteria
Description: partial 16S ribosomal RNA
Rfam family: Bacterial small subunit ribosomal RNA
Source: RNAcentral
CCUACGGGUGGCAGCAGUGAGGAAUAUUGGUCAAUGGGCGAGAGCCUGAACCAGCCAAGUCGCGUGAGGGAGUACUGCCCUAUGGGUUGUAAACCUCUUUUGUCGGGGAGCAAAAGCCGGACGUGUCCGGCUGUGAGAGUUACCGAAGAAAAAGCAACGGCUAACUUCGUGCCAGCAGCCGCGGUAAUACGGAGGAUGCGAGCGUUAUCCGGAUUUUUUGGGGUUUAAGGGUGCGCGGGCGGAUUUUUAAGUCAGCGGUCAAAUCGUGGGGCUCAACCCCAUCCAGCCGUUGAAACUGGGGGUCUAGAGUGUGCGUGAGGUAUGCGGAAUGCGUGGUGUAGCGGUGAAAUGCAUAGAUAUCACGCAGAACCCCGAUUGCGAAGGCAGCAUACCGGUGCACAACUGACGCUGAGGCACGAAAGCGUGGGUAUCGAACAGGAGUAGAUACCCGAGUAGUC